RNAcentral lists this ribosomal RNA (290 nucleotides) under uncultured bacterium. Its description in RNAcentral is "partial 16S ribosomal RNA". It matches the Rfam family "Bacterial small subunit ribosomal RNA", at positions 355 to 637 of the family's 1533-position model. The record is from RNAcentral.
UAGGGAACCUUCCACAAUGGACGCAAGUCUGAUGGAGCAACGCCGCGUGAGUGAAGAAGGCUUUCGGGUCGUAAAACUCUGUUAUUGAAGAAGAACGUGUGUGACAGUAACUGGUCAUGCAGUGACGGUAUUCAAUCAGAAAGUCACGGCUAACUACGUGCCAGCAGCCGCGGUAAUACGUAGGUGGCAAGCGUUGUCCGGAUUUAUUGGGCAUAAAGCGAGUGCAGGCGGUCUUUUAAGUCUGAUGUGAAAGCCUUCGGCUUAACCGAAGAAGGGCAUCGGAAACUGGG